This 292-nucleotide ribosomal RNA is filed under the name uncultured bacterium. Its description in RNAcentral is "partial 16S ribosomal RNA". It matches the Rfam family "Bacterial small subunit ribosomal RNA", at positions 505 to 796 of the family's 1533-position model. The record is from RNAcentral.
GUGCCAGCCGCCGCGGUAAUACAGAGGGGGCGAGCGUUGUUCGGAAUUACUGGGCGUAAAGGGCGCGUAGGCGGCCUUCUAAGUCGGACGUGAAAUCCCUCGGCUCAACCGAGGAACUGCGUCCGAUACUGGUUGGCUUGAAUUCGGGAGAGGGAUGCGGAAUUCCAGGUGUAGCGGUGAAAUGCGUAGAUAUCUGGAGGAACACCGGUGGCGAAGGCGGCAUCCUGGACCGAUAUUGACGCUGAUGCGCGAAAGCCAGGGGAGCAAACGGGAUUAGAUACCCCAGUAGUCC